CACAAAAAAAGAAGAAACAGAAAAGUGAAAAGGGUCAGUUCAGAGUCGACACUGGUAGAGAGAAGAGAGCUGGACGACGAGACACAAAGAGGGCUGUGAUGUCAGCUGUGGACUUCCCGUUUGUUCCGUUCCUGCACGUUUACUGCGCCUUCACAGUGAAAUCUGUUCUGUAGAGGGAGUGACUGACAGUCCCAACAAUCAAAUCAGGAUGUUUGUUCUCAUGUGGUCGACUCUGCUUUUCUCUGUGUGGGGCAGCAAUGCAGACGUAGGUACAUCAUUGGAAAGAAGAGAGUUCUGUCAGGGUGACUUCUGUAUCACUCUGAUUGAUGGACAAAUAACAGCAGAGGCUGGACUCUGUGUCGUGAUCCCGUGUUCUUUUACUAUUAGUUAUUGGUUCAGUCCA
This is a non-coding RNA of Labrus bergylta (ballan wrasse), 403 nucleotides long. Lineage: Eukaryota; Metazoa; Chordata; Actinopteri; Labriformes; Labridae. The record is from RefSeq and is a predicted model, not a curated record.